GACGGGGGGGGCAAGUGUUCUUCGGAAUGACUGGGCGUAAAGGGCACGUAGGCGGUGAAUCGGGUUGAAAGUGAAAGUCGCCAAAAAAGUGGCGGAAUGCUCUCGAAACCAAUUCACUUGAGUGAGACAGAGGAGAGUGGAAUUUCGUGUGUAGGGGUGAAAUCCGUAAUAUACGAAGGAACGGCCGAAAAGCGAACGGAAGCAGCUACG
This 210-nucleotide ribosomal RNA is filed under the name uncultured bacterium. RNAcentral's name for it is "partial 16S ribosomal RNA". It matches the Rfam family "Bacterial small subunit ribosomal RNA", at positions 524 to 733 of the family's 1533-position model. The record is from RNAcentral.